UUUAAUAAAGUUCUAAGUGAAAAAAUGAUUAUGACAUUUUUCAUAUAAGUCUUGACCAAGUCAUGUGCCAGCGGUCGCGGUAAUACAUGGAAGACUAGUGUUAUUCAUCUUUAAUAGGUUUAAAGGGUACCUAGACGGUUAAUAAGGCCCUAAAUAAAAAGAACAGGGAACUAAUUAACUAGAGUUUUAUGUAAGAAGAUAGAAGGAGGAGAGUAGAGAUUCAAUUCUGUAAUUCCCUUUACGACUAUUUAAGGCGAAAGCGAUCUUUUAUGUAUAAACUGACGUUGAGGGACGAAGGCUUAGGUAGCGAACAGGAUUAGAUACCCUAGUAGUCUUAGCAGAAAAUUAUGAAUGUUAUAUAUAAAUGAAAGUGUAAGCAUUCCACCUUAAGAGUAAUGCGGCAACGCAUAAACUGAAAUCAUUAGACCGCUUUUGAAACCAGUAGUGAAGUAUGUUGUUUAAUUUGAUAAUCCACGGAAAACCUUACCACACAAGAGUUGCACGGCUGUCUUAAGU
RNAcentral lists this ribosomal RNA (516 nucleotides) under Absconditella sphagnorum. Its description in RNAcentral is "SSU rRNA". It matches the Rfam family "Bacterial small subunit ribosomal RNA", at positions 421 to 1059 of the family's 1533-position model. The record is from RNAcentral. Lineage: Eukaryota; Fungi; Ascomycota; Lecanoromycetes; Ostropales; Stictidaceae.